Molecule: transfer RNA, 66 nt
Filed under: Euschemon rafflesia
Lineage: Eukaryota; Metazoa; Arthropoda; Insecta; Lepidoptera; Hesperiidae
Description: tRNA-Arg
Source: RNAcentral
AAAUAAGAAGCAAAUUUAUAUGCAUUUAAUUUCGACUUAAAAGAAGAGUAAAUAACUCCUUAUUUA